This 250-nucleotide ribosomal RNA is filed under the name uncultured bacterium. RNAcentral describes it as "partial 16S ribosomal RNA". It matches the Rfam family "Bacterial small subunit ribosomal RNA", at positions 524 to 773 of the family's 1533-position model. The record is from RNAcentral.
GACAGAGGGGGCAAGCGUUGUCCGGAAUUACUGGGCGUAAAGCGCACGCAGGCGGCCAGGCACGUGUGGGGUGAAAACCCUAGGCUUAACCUAGGGACGUCCCCGCAUACGGCCAGGCUCGAGGCGUACAGAGGCCAGCGGAAUUGCCGGUGUAGGAGUGAUAUCCGUAGAGACCGGCAGGAACACCGACGGGGAAGCCAGCUGGCUGGGUACGACCUGACGCUCAGGUGCGACAGCGUGGGGAGCAAAC